This 534-nucleotide ribosomal RNA is filed under the name Triticum aestivum (bread wheat). RNAcentral's name for it is "partial small subunit ribosomal RNA". The record is from RNAcentral. Lineage: Eukaryota; Viridiplantae; Streptophyta; Magnoliopsida; Poales; Poaceae.
AUGCGUGCGUGGCUGUACCGGUGGUGGUUGGUGGGCGGUACGGCGGGGCAGGGCAUGGGGUCGCGGGAGAUUUUUUACCGCCGGUGGCGCCAGAUUCGGCGUUGCAUGCGGCGACGGCUGCGCGCAUUGCGCUCCUUGCGUCCGCGGGAGUCCGCCGGGAACAGUGGCUCCUUGGCUUUACGUCGUUUUCCCGAGGGAUUUACGUGUCGAUGUCUGGUUUCGAGGGGAAAGCCUCGGUCUUUUGGCCGGCGAUUCGGUUCCUGGGGCGUCCAUUGGACGCCGGCUGUGUUGAGCGGGGCUUAUGUUCGCAUGCAUGUGGAUGGUUUUAUCUGUUUUGCGGAUUUUGUAAGGACGGCAGGGGUUAGCACGAUUAAAUCUGUUACUAGGAUCCAGGAGUCGUGUCAGUCUCUCGCGUUCCAUGUCAAGCUGCUGUCUAUGGGCGCAAGUAGAUGGUUUCCUUGUGCCAACCCUGGUUCGUGGUUUCAUGCUAUUUUUGUUGGGUGGUGUAUGUACAAUGCACAUGUCUCCUCUUAA